GACGAACGCUGGCGGCGUGCCUAAUACAUGCAAGUAGAACGCACAGUUUAUACCGUAGCUUGCUACACCAUAGACUGUGAGUUGCGAACGGGUGAGUAACGCGUAGGUAACCUGCCUGGUAGCGGGGGAUAACUAUUGGAAACGAUAGCUAAUACCGCAUAAUAUUAAUUAUUGCAUGAUAAUUAAUUGAAAGGUGCAAUUGCACCACUACCAGAUGGACCUGCGUUGUAUUAGCUAGUAGGUGAGGUAACGGCUCACCUAGGCGACGAUACAUAGCCGACCUGAGAGGGUGAUCGGCCACACUGGGACUGAGACACGGCCCAGACUCCUACGGGAGGCAGCAGGAGGGAAUCUUCGGCAAUGGACGAAAGUCUGACCGAGCAACGCCGCGUGAGUGAAGAAGGGUUUCGGAUCGGAAAGCUCUGUUGUAAGAGAAGAACGGGUGUGAGAGUGGAAAGUUCACACUGUGACGGUAUCUUACCAGAAAGGGACGGCUAACUACGUG
Molecule: ribosomal RNA, 505 nt
Filed under: uncultured bacterium
Lineage: Bacteria
Description: partial 16S ribosomal RNA
Rfam family: Bacterial small subunit ribosomal RNA
Source: RNAcentral